AUUGAACGCUGGCGGCAUGCUUUACACAUGCAAGUCGAACGGCAGCGCGGGCUUCGGCCUGGCGGCGAGUGGCGAACGGGUGAGUAAUACAUCGGAACGUGCCCAGUAGUGGGGGAUAGCUCGGCGAAAGCCGGAUUAAUACCGCAUACGACCUGAGGGUGAAAGCGGGGGAUCUUCGGACCUCGCGCUAUUGGAGCGGCCGAUGGCAGAUUAGCUAGUUGGUGGGGUAAAGGCCUACCAAGGCGACGAUCUGUAGCUGGUCUGAGAGGACGACCAGCCACACUGGGACUGAGACACGGCCCAGACUCCUACGGGAGGCAGCAGUGGGGAAUUUUGGACAAUGGGCGAAAACCUGAUCCAGCAAUGCCGCGUGUGUGAUGAAGGCCUUCGGGUUGUAAAGCACUUUUGGCGGGAACGAAAAGGACUGUGCCAAUACCACGGUUCGAUGACGGUACCCGCAGAAUAAGCACCGGCUAACUACGUG
RNAcentral lists this ribosomal RNA (484 nucleotides) under uncultured bacterium. RNAcentral describes it as "partial 16S ribosomal RNA". It matches the Rfam family "Bacterial small subunit ribosomal RNA", at positions 29 to 507 of the family's 1533-position model. The record is from RNAcentral.